UAUUCUGAAACUAGUACAUUUAGCAAAAGAAGCCUUCUUUUUGGUUAGAUUGAAUCCACAGUGGAAGUGAAAAUACAUAAACAAAGACCAAAUUAACAUUAAAAAAACCAAGAAAAAUAGAAGGAAGCUAGUUUUUGGGCAAGUUAUCUGAAAAGCCUACGCAAGAUAGUUUUUCUCUUUAGUUUUUGCUCAAAUAUUAUGCUUUAGGAUAACAGAAUGUCCAGGCUCUGAGAAAGAUGCUGGAUUCUCAUCCAUACAGCAUCUGGAAUAAUAAAGUCAUUUCUCUGGGAACUUUUUGUGACCCUUUCCUUGAAACUCAACACACCAAUUGCAAAAAUAUAAGCAUAACAACUACAAACCAGCUAAAGAGGAGUACUUUGUUUCCAAAACUUUAUUGACAGUUACAGCAUCUCGUUUCACUUUGGUGAUACAGCAGUCAUUGGUGUAAGACAGUAAGAGCAUCUGAUGGAAGAAAGUAAGUAUCCAGUCAGACGCUUCACCUGCCCUGUGUCACAGUUACAUUGAAAAUAAGAGCUUAAAGUUCUAAGAUUCGCUUGACAAAGAUUCAUGCCUCCUAGUCAAAGCAAGAAAAUGAAUAGAAAAUGCAAAAUACAACAUAAAAAAUAACCCAUGACCUCUCACAUACGUUAUGCCAAGUCUUAGAAACAAGUAAACAUUCUACAAUCAAACUUGUGAGAAAAAUAUAAUUGCCAAACAAUUGAUAUAAGGAAGUCCCUUUCUUAUGUAACAUGAGAUAUUCGAGCAGACAAUCAUAUAAAUCAAACAAAUAAUACAAAUGGAAGAAUCAACCAUCAUUCACGCCAUAAAGAAGGUAGAGCAAGCAGAAAAGACCCAUGGCAUAUGCUACUUCUCAACAGAGUGGCACAGCAGGUACUCGCCUGCACCUAUAAAGCUAUGGAAGUCAUGCAAGCAUAUAUGGAAAUAACCAAAAUAUAAAAAAGAUAAAACUUCAAAUGGAGUCAAUAAAUCAUUUGACAUUAAUGCCCACCUUAGUGCAAAUAGAUACCAGUAGAAGACAAAUUUUAGAAAUAACUUGGCGAAUACUUGCCCGUAUGGAAUACCCAGAGUGUAUAUGAAUGGCAUAACCAUCAAGUUCAAUUAAAAACAUGUCAAAAUUGAAACUAUUCAGCAGUCUAUUUGUAAUAAGUCUUCUACAAAUCGGGUAUAUACAGACACGAACAAAUUUCACUCUGGAACAAUAUGCUAUUGAUGAACUAACCACUAAGCAGUUUCCAUCUGUACAAAUAAUUGUGGAGGAAGGAUUAUUUACAUGCAUGAGAACAAAAGGAAGAAAGCAACUGAACAGGAGCAAAAAGGAGACCAAUAUGUUUCUAAAUAUUUAUGACCAUGACUAGAAAAAGACCUCCUUUUAAGUAGUUGGAGGCUCAUAAAACUGAACAAAACUCUCAGGUAACAGAGGUGAAAGAUCCGUCAACAACUCAUGUCUUCUCCCCCAGGACAAAGAUCUUGUUAGGAACUAUAAGGAAAAAAAUAUAUAUAUCAUAUUCCAAACAUUUAUGCCAAUGAAAACAGAAAGGGAGCACACUGGCUGGAUCACCCCUUUCAAGAGACAGAAUAUCGAACCCACAGACUUGAUAUAGGUAAGAAACCUCAAAGUAGACAUAAGAAAUAAAAACGGAUGACAGCCUACUUGAGAGAUAAGUACUACUCCUAAAAAUGGGUUUCUGCAGCAAGUUUACACAUAACAGAUACCAAUCGAUACAACACAAAACCUUAAUCAAAUUACAUAUGACAAAACUGAAAGGGCAAACAUAAAAUCUUCCUGGUUAAGGUGUACUAGUUACCUUCUUUUAGCAACAGUUGUUAAUGAGCUGUGCAUUUCCGUGAUAACAAGGCAUUAAGAAGAAAGGUUUAGGAAACAGAAUAUUAAGUAUUGGUGUCAUUAAUUCCAAAGUAUUAUCCCAAGUAGAUUGUCUCGUCCUCUUGUUGUAAUAAUAUCUCUAGAAAUUCAGAGGAAUCAUAUUCAACUAGUGUGAGAAACAAAAUGUAAAAAGCCUCCAAAAGAACACGAUAAACAUAAUGCUGUAGCUAAACCAAGAAGUUAAAAGUUCAAGACGGAUGCAUAUUGUUCUAAAAAAUGCUGAUUGUGUGCUCUACCACCAUAUUUUCGAUAAGAGUCCAGCAAGGGCUAACUUAUUGUGAGAAUUAGGUGACAUAUUGCAACUGUCAGCAACUAAUAACAUGCCAAAUGAAAUUGUGACAAGUGACACAAUGCAUUUAAAAUAAAGUGAAAUAUGUCACUGCAGAAUGUGCAUUAUACUAGUUUGUCCUUCUCCAUGGUUUUAAAGGCAUUAAUAGAAGAUUCAUCAAGGAAGAAAAAAGCAAUUCCAAGGGUAUCUACACUGUUUUUGUAAAUGCUGUUUCAAUUUACUUGAAAUCAUUCUAAAGCCAAAAAGAAUCUUUAGAAAUUCUCAAGGUACUCUAAAAAAUAGCAAUGGCCAAUAAAUUUACGAGGAUAUAAUUUGUGGAAGGAUUGAUUUUCAUCUAGUCAGGGAGAGUAAAACUAUCAGUAAGAUGAACAUGUCAUACUAGCAAUCAUGAACGUGGUAUGAAACCUCCUUUGACUUUGGUUAAGCAAAUUAAUACCAACCAAAAUAACCCUCAUUGGCGUUAUUAAGAAAACUAAUAUCUACCAAAAUGAAGCUAAAACAAUAUUAUCCCCAUCAUUAUUGUUUGGAAUUAAAAGAUCACCCAUUCGUUACACCUUUAGGAACUAUGUAGAGAACAAAGCAAGACUAAAUGAGGGAGCCAUAAAACCUUUCUUUCAUAGCCAAGGGCUAAAAAGCUACAGAGAAGGCACUAGAUAAUUUUAAGUCACAGGCAUUAACAGGGCUUACAAGAACCAUAAGGAUUAGUUUUCACACACUACCUGGGCACCAGAAAUUGACCAUUUCACCAAUGCAGUGGACUCAAAAAAUAUGUAUAAAACCAACAAAUAUUAUAUCAAGUUAGUGAUACAUGAAAUGGCAUAAUAAAACAGGCUCAAAGUCAAUGUAUGCAUAUUAGGAAGAAAACCACCCAUUAACCUUGCAGUGUUUGCACCAAAAGUUAUAUGAGACUACAUAACAUAUAUGUGAAUGCAAAUGGAGAAUUGCAAUAUAUAUGCGGCAGCUGCCACAGUAAUAACUUCAGCAAGGUCUAACCACAUAAAGAAAUAAAAUAGUAUCACGCACCAAUGUGAUUAUGAAGUGAGUAAAAAAAAUGCAGAAUAACAACUUUGUCUGGAUUAGACAUAAGAAAAAUAUGUAUCAUUGCCAUCUGUUCAGUACACAUUGCUUUUCAAUUGUAUCAAUGAGAAUGAAAGAAUUAAGAUAUCAUGUGCACCGCAUAGUUAUUGGAAAUAUGUACAGGAGGAAAAAGAAAAUUAUAUCUUAAUCACUCAGUUUUCUCACAUCGACAACCCACGAUGUAUGUUCUUUAUUCCUGGUCCUCUGCACUGCUAGCUAGCUCAUUUCUUAAUCUCGUCGGUAUGUGAAACUAUUCCAUGCAAAGCCUUAAAAAUUCACACCAUUACUAUGGAAACACCCAUCUUGGGAAUCAAUGCUACGAAAGAUUUUAAUUUUUCACUUUGUUAGUCCUCUCUAUUAUAAAUUGUUAUAGAUCAAUCGCAAGGCUGAACAAAAACAAUCAAAUCAAUUAGAAGUAGUCUUUCAACAUGACACUAACAAUGCAACAAAGAAUUCCAGUUCCUUCUUCUCUGUAUUGACACACUAGUACCCGUUUUAACACAAGGAUAUCUUAAAAAUAAUUCGCUACUCUACUUUCCUCAAUUUUUCCCAGCAGGGAAACAACAGAUUAACUAACAAGUUAAUUAAAAUAAAAAAAUGAAAAAGCAACCACCAGUUCUAUGACAAACCCACAUAAUUUGCCCAAAGAAAUCCCUGAAUAACACACAACAAUACAAUCAAAGCUCUUAAUUCAUUAUUUACAUGCGUGAGAACAAAAGGAAGAAAGCAACUGAACAGGAAGCAGAAAGGAGACCAAUUUUUUUCUAAUUAUUUAUGACCCAGAAUAGAAAAAGACCUCCUUAUAAGUAGUUGGAGGGUCAUAAAACUGAAUAAAAACUCUCAGGUAACGGAGGUGAAAGAUCCACUAACAACUCAUGUUUUCUUCCCAGGACAGAGAUCUUGUUAGGAACCAUAUGAAAAAAAAUCAUAUUCCCAACAUUUAUACCAAUGAAAACAGAAGGGGAGCACACAGGUAAGAUCACCCCUUUCAAGAGACAGUAUAUUGAACCCACAGACUUGACACAGGUAAGAAACCUCAAAGUAAACAGAAGAAGUGAAAAUGGAUGACCGCAUACUUGAGAAAUAAGUACUACUCCUAAAAAUGGGUGUCUGCAGCAAGUUUACAUAAUAUGUGACACAUGUAACACAAAACAGAUACAUAUUCAAUACAAAACAAAACCUUGAUCAAAUUACAUAUGACAAAACUGAAAGGGCAAACAUAAAAUCUUCCUGGGUAAGGUGUACUAUUUACCUUCUUUUAGCAACACUUGUUAAUGAGCUAUGCAUUACUGUAAUAACAAGGCAUUAAGAAGAAAGGUUUAGGAAACAGAAUAUUAAGUCGUGCAUCUCACCUCAACUGGUGUCAUUAAUUCCAAAGGAUUAUCCCAAGUAGAUUGUCUGGUCCUGUUGUUGUAAUAAUAUCUCUAGAAAUUCAGAGGAAUCAUAUUCAACUAGUGUGAGAAACAAAAUAUAGAACACCUCCUAAAGAACACGAUAAACAUAAUGUUGUAGCAAAACCAAGAAGUAAAGUUCAAGAGGGAUGCAAAUUGUUCUAAGAAAUGCUGAUCACGUACUCUGCCACCAUAUUUUCGAUAAGAGUCCAACAUGGACUAACUUAUUGUGAGAAUUAGGUGACAUAUUGCAACUGUCAACAACUAAUAACAUGCCAAAUGAAAUUGUGAUAAGUGACACAAAGCAUUUAAAAUAAUGUGAAAUAUGUCAUUGCAGAAUGUGCAUUAUAUUAUUUUGUCCUUCUCCAUAAAAAGCAAUUCCCAAGGGUAUCUGCACUGUUUUUGUAAAUGGUGUUUCAAUUCACUUGAAAUCAUUCUAAAGCCAAAAAGAAGCUUUAGAAAUUCUCAAGGUACUCUAAAAAAUAGCAAUAGCCAAUAAAUUUACGAGGAUAUAAUUUGUGGAAGGAUUGAUUUUCAUCUAGUCAGAGAGAAUAAAACUAUCAGCAAGAUGAACAUGUCUUAUUAGCAACCGUGAACUUGGUAUGAAACCUCCUUUGACUUUAUUUACGAAAAUUAAUACCAACCAAAAUAACCCUCUUUGGCAUUAUUAAGAAAAUUAAUAUCUACCAAAAUGAAGCUAAAACAAUAUUAUCAUGAAACACAUGCCUGAGAAUAGCCUGUCAUACAGUCAGCCUAUAACAACAAAACUGUUACAAAAGGCCUUUAAAAGCUCUGGCAAACAAUAUUUUUCAAUGCUGAUUCAAACAUGAUUUUUCCGUUUUGCCAAUACCCUUGAAACUUUAAAAAUAUGCAACUACAUCAGUCAAAUAAAGUACAAAUGGGUGUAUAGGACCAGUUGUAGCUAUCACAAUAACGUCCCUUCUGCCAUCAGCAGAAGUAUGCUCUAUCCAGUCAGUUUGGGCCACUUCUGCAGAGUUAGGCUGAACAGUUUUAGCCUCGAAUGAUGUAAGAUUUUAAAAUAGUUUAUAACCCUAUCAUUAUUGUUUGGAAUUGAAAGAUCACCCAUUCGUUACUCCCUUGGGAACUAUGUACAGAACAAAAGAAGACUAAAUGAAGGAGCCAUCAAACCUUUCAUUCAUAGGCAAGGGCUAAAAAGCUACAGAGAAGGUACUAGAUAAUUUUAAGUCACAGGCAUUAACAGGACUUACAAGAACCAUAAGAACUAGUUUUCAUACCUUCCUGAGCACCAUAAAUUGAUCAUUUCACCAAUGCAGUGGACUCAAAGAAUAUCUAUAAAACCAACAAAUAUUAUAUCAAGUUAGUGGUACACGAAAUGGCAUAAUAAAACAGGCUCAAAGUCAAUCUAUUGCAUAUUAGGAAGAAAACCGCUCAUUAAACUUGCAGUGUUUGCUCCAAAAGUAACAUGAGACUACAUAACAUUUAUGCGAAAGUAAAUGGCGAAUUGCAAUAUAUAUGCGGCAGCUGCCACAGUAAUAACUUCAACAAGGUCUAACCCCAUAAACAAAUAAAAUAGUAUCAGCACCAAUGUGAUUAUGAAGUGAGUAUAAAAAAAAAAUGCAGAAUAACAACAAACAACUUUAUACAGAUUAGACAUAAGAAAAAUAUGUAUCCUUGCCAUCUGUUCAGUACACAUAGCUUUGCAAUUGUAUCAAUGAGACAAUGAAAGAAUUAAGAUAUCAUGUGCACCGUAUGGUUAUUGGAAAUAUGUACAGGAGGAAAAAGAAAAUUAUAUCUUAAUCUCUCAGUUUUCUCACAUUGACAACCCAUGACGUAUGUUCUUUAUUCCUGGUCCUCUGCACUUCUAGCUCAUUUCUUAAUCCCGUGGUUCCAUGAUACUACUCUAUGCAAAGCCUUAAAAAUUCACACCAUUACUACGGAAACACCCAUCUUGGAAUCAAUGCUACGAAAGAUUUUAAUUUUUCACUUUGUUAGUCCUCUCUAUUAUAAAUUGUUAUACAUCAAUCCCAAGGCUAAACAAAAACAAUCAAAUCAAUUAGAAGAAGUCUUUCAACAUGACACAACAAUGCAACAAAGAAUUCCAGUUCCUUCUUCUCUGUAUUAAUACACUAAUACCAGUUUAACACGAGGAUAUAUAAAAAAUAAUUCAUUACUCUACUGUCCUCAAUUUUUACCAGCAGGUAAACAACAGAUUAAUUAAUAAGUUCAUUAAAAUUAAAAAAAUAAAAAAAUGAAAAGAAACCACCUGUUCUAUGACAAACAAACAUAAUUUGCCCAAAGAAAUCACUGUAUAACACAUAACAAUACAAUCAAAGCUCUUAAUUCAUUCUUCUCCUUAUCAAUGCACCGAUACCGUUUUACAUGUGGAUUCACAAAAGCAUCAUCACUCUCUACUCCCCACCAUUUUCAGCAAAUAAACCUCGAAUUAAUUGACACAUUCAUUGAUCCGAUAACAAUAAGAUUGGCAGAUUAGCAUAAAUUAACCUCAAACCUUCCCAACAGACUGACAAUAACUCAAAUCCCAAAAUGUGAGAAGCAGAACAGCAUUCGAGCUAAAAAUGUAUCAAAACAUAAAGAGGCUCAAAAACUCAUGCACCUAUGGAGGAAAAAUUGAAGAUUUGAAGUCCUAGUGACCUAAAUAACAAUGAUGGACUUCUAACUAAAAUUGGGCUCCAAAUAAAACUAAUUGAGUAAACUGCAACCUUAUGGAACUGAAAUAUUCAAAUGCAGAGCUGACAGAAUAGUUACAAAUAAUGAGAAUAUUAGUUCUUUUUAGUUAACGCAAAAAAAAAAAAUAUAUGCAAGCGAUAAGUGAACGUAAGUGUUCGAUAAUUUGCGUGAGAGAAGAAAUUUAGCUAGAAGAAUUCUUCAAAGACGAAAAAGAAAUCUUGAAAGACGAAAGAGAGAGGCAGACAUAUGAGUUACAAGUUGGGAUUUGGAUUCAAUGCUCAGCUGACUUUCCCAAUCUCAUCAAACUCUUGCCCUUCUUUUUCUUACGUUUCUUUCUUUGCGUUUUUGUUUUUUAAAUUUUAAAAUAUUUUGGGCAGCUAGUUUUUUUUUUUUUCUUACUUCCAAUCUCAUGAACACACGACCAUCACAAAACCUUGAUUUAUUUGGAGAAAAUAAAAGUUAAAAGUCUCCUAAUUAAAAAAAAAAAAAGAUUAGAGAAAUAGAGAAGAAAAAAUAAAAAUAAAUCAAGAUUUCACUAUAAAAAUCGAAUCCAGUAAAUCUAAAUUAGAUUCCUUGCAUAUAUAACAAAUUUAAUUUCCUCAUCAAUCGCUUCCAAUAAUUAAAACCAAAAAAAAAAAUAUUUAUAUUUCUUUAUAUACGCCAUUGUUGUUGAAACUUUGAGCUUGAAUAGAGUUGUUGUGAAUUUGUCAAAGAAAAUGAGGGGGAAAGGAAAACGAGAGAAAAAAAGACAAAAAGAAAUAAGUAAGAUGAAAAAAAAAAGUCUGUUAAUAAAGUGCAUUUGAGUUAAUAAUUUAAAAAAAAAAAUUGCCAUUGAGUUAAUUGCUGGCAGUUGAGGCUUGUUAAUAAAAAACAAAUUACAUUCAAUUAAGCAUGGGAU
Molecule: long non-coding RNA, 8228 nt
Filed under: Citrus maxima (pomelo)
Lineage: Eukaryota; Viridiplantae; Streptophyta; Magnoliopsida; Sapindales; Rutaceae
Description: long non-coding RNA (CMAX_LNC000948)
Source: RNAcentral